Non-coding RNA from Pongo pygmaeus (Bornean orangutan), 459 nucleotides. Lineage: Eukaryota; Metazoa; Chordata; Mammalia; Primates; Hominidae. The record is from the annotation of a RefSeq genome assembly.
AUCAGCACUGAACACAGACCACCAACCAUGGAGUCUGGGCUGAGCUGGGUUUUCCUUGUUGCUAUUUUAAAAGGUGUCCAGUGUGAGGUGCAGCUGGUGGAGUCUGGGGGAGGCUUGGUACAGCCAGGGGGGUCCCUGAGACUCUCCUGUGCAGCCUCUGGAUUCACAUUCAGUGACUACUACAUGAGCUGGGUCCACCAGCCUCCAGGGAAGGGGCUGGAGUGGGUAGGUUUAAUUAGAAACAAAGCUAAUGGUGGGACAACAGAAUACGCCGCGUCUGUGAAAGGCAGAUUCACCAUCUCAAGAGAUGAUUCCAAAAGCAUCGCCUAUCUGAAAACCGAGGACACGGCCGUGUAUUACUGUACUAGAGACACAGUGAGGGAAGGUCAGUGUGAGCCCAGACACAAACCUCCCUGCAGGGGCGCCCGGAUCCACCAGGGGGCGCUCGGGACCCACUGA